GACGAACGCUGGCGGCGGGCUUAACACAUGCAAGUCGAACGGAAAGGCCCUGCUUGUGUGGGCUGCUCGAGUGGCGAACGCGUGAGUAACACGUGAGUAACCUGCCCUUGACUUUGGGAUAACUUCAGGAAACUGGGGCUAAUACCGGAUAGCAGCUCCUGCUGCAUGGUGGGGGUUGGAAAGUCGCGGCGGUUGGGGUUGGACUCGCGGCUUAUGAGCUUGUUGGUGGGGGAGUGGCUUACCCAGGCUUUGACGGGUAGCCGGCCCGGGAGGGUGACCGGGGACCAGGGGCCUGAGGGACGGCCCAGACGCCUACGGGAGGCAGCAGGGGGAAAUAUUGCCCAGUGGGCGGAAGCCUGUUGCAGCAGCGCCGGGUGCGGGAUGACGGCCUGCGGGUUGUAAACCGCUUUCGCCUGUGACGAAGCUGGAGUGACGGUACUCGGUAAAGAAGCACCGGCUAACUACGUG
This 468-nucleotide ribosomal RNA is filed under the name uncultured bacterium. Its description in RNAcentral is "partial 16S ribosomal RNA". It matches the Rfam family "Bacterial small subunit ribosomal RNA", at positions 28 to 507 of the family's 1533-position model. The record is from RNAcentral.